This 364-nucleotide unclassified non-coding RNA is filed under the name uncultured Orbiliaceae. Its description in RNAcentral is "sequence contains ITS1". The stretch from base 1 to 105 matches the Rfam family "5.8S ribosomal RNA", at positions 50 to 154 of the family's 154-position model. The record is from RNAcentral. Lineage: Eukaryota; Fungi; Ascomycota; Orbiliomycetes; Orbiliales.
GAAACGCGAUAGGUAAUGUGAAUUGCAGAAUUCCGUGAAUCAUCGAAUCUUUGAACGCACAUUGCGCCUUCUGGUAUUCCGGUAGGCAUGUCUGUUUGAGCGUCAGCAAACACCCUCAGCUUGAGUAUUUAUUUAUUCGAUGCUGGUCUUGGGCAGCGGAUGCCGGUGGUUGAUUUAUCUCCACCUGCGCCCUCCCUAAACUUGCUGCACGACCGCAAGCCCCUUCUAGCCAGGUCAAUGGAGUGGUGUUACAAUCUUCCAAAAAGCCUGAUGGAUAACCGCUUGGUGGCGUUAAACCCAAAAGUCUCCUCACGGAGAUCGAAGUUUUGACCUCAGAUCAGACAAGGAUACCCGCUGAACUUAA